This 92-nucleotide transfer RNA is filed under the name Macleaya cordata. It matches the Rfam family "tRNA". From Rfam's summary of the family: Transfer RNA (tRNA) molecules are approximately 80 nucleotides in length. The record is from Rfam by way of RNAcentral. Lineage: Eukaryota; Viridiplantae; Streptophyta; Magnoliopsida; Ranunculales; Papaveraceae.
CCGACCUUAGCUCAGUUGGUAGAGCGGAGGACUGUAGUUGGUUAACAGUGCAGAUAAUCCUUAGGUCGCUGGUUCGAAUCCGGCAGGUCGGA